RNAcentral lists this long non-coding RNA (1223 nucleotides) under Cicer arietinum (chickpea). RNAcentral's name for it is "long non-coding RNA (CARI_LNC000886)". The record is from RNAcentral. Lineage: Eukaryota; Viridiplantae; Streptophyta; Magnoliopsida; Fabales; Fabaceae.
AUUCUUUUAGUUAAAUAUAUUUGCAAUGAGUUAUAAAAUAAAACAAAGGCUAAAAAAAUAAGGUAAAACUUUUAUCAACAACUCCAUAAAUACUAGAGAUUGGAAUAGGUUAGAUCGAUCGACAGAGAUUUACGGUUUCGUCUACGUAAAACUCAAGACAUAUCAAGUUGACCUAAUUUUGAGACUAUAUGCCACAUGAAAAAGUCAUUCACCUCUAUCAAUUCGACUUAUUUAAAUAAAUAUAAAUAAUAUUUUUUUAUUACUACUAUAAUUAUUAUAUUAAAUUUUAAUCUUUUUGUUAUAUAUUAAACUUUUAGUAAUUUAAAAAUAUAAAUCUUCUUUAAUUUGUGAAAUAUUAUAAAAUAGAAUUGAAGUAAGAUGUCAUAUAAAAUAAAAUAGAUUUUUAAAUAGAAUAGCAAGCCAUACUAGACUUUUAUCGAUGUCAAAACCAAAUCUAAAAAAUAAGUUUACGCCAUAAACUUGACUUAGAUGUUAAAUUUUUUUAAUGGACCAAACUCAAACCGUGUAAAAUCUAACUUAUUCUCACCCUAAUAAAAACACACAGUAGAACAUUUAACCAUAAUGGACUACAACCCUACAAUAUCCCUCCACCUAUCUCUAUAUGUAUUAACUUUUUAAAUAUUAAUAUUAUUUAUAUUUUAUUUCGGAAGUAGUAUAUCAAAAACCAAAGACCCAAUACACCCUGGCAAAAUUGUCUUCUCCCGUAAACCCUAGAGUAAGAACUUGUAAAUCAGUCUUCUAACAAACCUCCGUACAUCCUAUGUCAUAAGCAAAACGUAGCACGAUGAGGAACGAAACCGACAGUUGCAUCUUCACAGGAACAUAUGAGCUCUUUUCCGUAAAUUUGUGCACAUGUAUUUCUAUCUUCAUAGCAAUAGGAGUUUCUAUCCCACCAAAUAUUGUAUAGCAUUAUAGCUGCAACUUAUAGGACAUGUAAAUGACCUUUUGACAAAGCUCUUUCUAUCUACAUAACAAGUUUGAUUUGAAUGUCUUUAAAUUUAUCUCCGAAUAAUGGAAUCAUAUUUGUUUAUCCCAAACACACUACUUGACAGUUUGAUUUAUAGUUUCCACUUUUUCCUCACACCUGCGAAAAAGAAUAGAAUAAUCGAUGCUUUUUUUUUAAGGUUAUCUCAAACAUUCACGGCUAGGUUUGUUAUUUUCCAAAAGAGAUACAGGUACUCCUAGAGUAAUAUAAUCCUUUC